GGAGUUUAUCGUGUACGCAAGUCAUUGGGUGAAUAAAACCCAAAGGCGAAAUGAAAGUAAAGAGUUGAGUUUAUAAUUGAGAAUUUAUUUUCUUUUAUUUCUCUCUUUAGGGAAGAUGAAAAUUUAAUUUAUAAUCUAUUUAUAGAUUAUUUAUUCUAAAUUUUUCGCAUUCCCAGGGCGCUUGUUUCACGCUUUGCGUGUCGAUGCGCACCCAGAGCGUACACGCUGAUACCCGAAAGAUGGUGAACUAUGCCUGGCCAGGACGAAGCCAGGGGAAACCCUGGUGGAGGUCCGCAGCGAUUCUGACGUGCAAAUCGAUCGUCGGAGCUGGGUAUAGGGGCGAAAGACCAAUCGAACCAUCUAGUAGCUGGUUCCCUCUGAAGUUUCCCUCAGGAUAGCUUGCGCUCGUCUUAUGAGUCUCAUCCGGUAGAGCGAAUGAUUAGAGGCAUUGGGGUCGAAACGACCUCAACCUAUUCUCAAACUCCAAAUAGAUGAGACCCCCGGCUUUCUUAAAAUUGAAGCCGUGGGAUUAGGAUCAGAGUGCCAAGUGGGCCAAUU
Molecule: ribosomal RNA, 558 nt
Filed under: Zelus errans
Lineage: Eukaryota; Metazoa; Arthropoda; Insecta; Hemiptera; Reduviidae
Description: eukaryotic LSU rRNA
Rfam family: Eukaryotic large subunit ribosomal RNA
Source: RNAcentral